GGGGGUAUAGCUCAGCUGGGAGAGCAUCUGGAUGGCAUUCAGAGGGUCAGCGGUUCGAUCCCGCUUACCUCCA
RNAcentral lists this transfer RNA (73 nucleotides) under Methylophilales bacterium HTCC2181. It matches the Rfam family "tRNA". Rfam says of the family: Transfer RNA (tRNA) molecules are approximately 80 nucleotides in length. Their secondary structure includes four short double-helical elements and three loops (D, anti-codon, and T loops). Lineage: Bacteria; Pseudomonadati; Pseudomonadota; Betaproteobacteria; Nitrosomonadales. The record is from Rfam by way of RNAcentral.